This 439-nucleotide ribosomal RNA is filed under the name uncultured bacterium. RNAcentral describes it as "partial 16S ribosomal RNA". It matches the Rfam family "Bacterial small subunit ribosomal RNA", at positions 338 to 794 of the family's 1533-position model. The record is from RNAcentral.
CCUACGGGAGGCAGCAGUGGGGAAUAUUGCACAAUGGGGGGAACCCUGAUGCAGCGACGCCGCGUGAGUGAAGAAGUAUUUCGGUAUGUAAAGCUCUGUCAGCAGGGAAGAAAAUGACGUUACCUGACUAAGAAGCCCCGGCUAACUACGGGCCAGCAGCCGCGGUAAUACGUAGGGGGCAAGCGUUAUCCGGAUUUACUGGGGGAAAAGGGAGCGUAGACGGUUAUGCAAGUCUGAAGUGAAAGCCCAAGGCUAAACAAUGGGACUGCUUUGGAAACUGUAAAACUGGAGUGCAGGAGAGGUAAGCGGAAUGCCUAGUGUAGCGGUGAAAUGGGUAGAUAUUAGGAGGAACACAAGUGGAGAAGGCGGCUUACUGGACUGUAACUGACGUGGAGGCUCGAAGGCGUGGGGAGCAAACAGGAUUAGAUACCGUAGUAGU